Molecule: ribosomal RNA, 504 nt
Filed under: uncultured bacterium
Lineage: Bacteria
Description: bacterial SSU rRNA
Rfam family: Bacterial small subunit ribosomal RNA
Source: RNAcentral
AGUGGCAGACGUUUAUCAAGUAACGCGUGGGAACCUUCCCUGUGGUACGGAAUAACUUCGGGAAACCGAAGCUAAUACCGUAUAUCUCCUCCGGGAGAAAGAUUUAUCGCCAUAGGAUGGGCCCGCGUUGGAUUAGCUAGUUGGUAGGGUAAUGGCCUACCAAGGCAACGAUCCAUAGCUGGUCUGAGAGGAUGAUCAGCCACACUGGGACUGAGACACGGCCCAGACUCCUACGGGAGGCAGCAGUGGGGAAUAUUGGACAAUGGGCGCAAGCCUGAUCCAGCCAUGCCGCGUGAGUGAAGAAGGCCUUAGGGUUGUAAAGCUCUUUUGGCGGGGACGAUAAUGACGGUACCCGCAAAAUAAGCCCCGGCUAACUUCGUGCCAGCAGCCGCGGUAAUACGAAGGGGGCUAGCGUUGUUCGGAAUCACUGGGCGUAAAGCGCACGCAGGCGGAUUGAUAAGUCAGGGGUGAAAUCCCGGGGCUCAACCUCGGAAUUGCCUUUGA